GACGAACGCUGGCGGCGUGCUUAACACAUGCAAGUCGAACGGAAAGGCCCUGCUGUUGUGGGGUGCGCGAGUGGCGAACUGGCGAGUAAUACGUUAGUUACCCCCCCUGGACAGAGGGGUAACGUCGAGAAACUCGGGCGAAUGCCGGACAGGAGCUCCUCUUGCAAACAGUGCGUGGGAAAGCCUCGGGGGUUGGGAAAGGAGGCGCGGCUUAUGCGUUUGUUGGAGAGGUUGGGGCUUCCCAAGGCGUCGACGGGUAGCCGGCCUGAGAGGGUGAACGGCCACAUUGGGACUGAGAUACGGCCCAGACUCCUACGGGAGGCAGCAGGGGGGAAUAUUGCACAAUGGGCGGAAGCCUGAUGCAGCAACGCCGCGGGCGGGAAAACGGCCUUCGGGUGGUUAACCGCUUUCGCCUGUGACGGAGCGUGAGUGACGGUAAUGGGUAAAGAAGCACCGGCUAACUACGUG
RNAcentral lists this ribosomal RNA (468 nucleotides) under uncultured bacterium. RNAcentral's name for it is "partial 16S ribosomal RNA". It matches the Rfam family "Bacterial small subunit ribosomal RNA", at positions 28 to 507 of the family's 1533-position model. The record is from RNAcentral.